RNAcentral lists this ribosomal RNA (1372 nucleotides) under uncultured bacterium. Its description in RNAcentral is "bacterial SSU rRNA". It matches the Rfam family "Bacterial small subunit ribosomal RNA", at positions 28 to 1381 of the family's 1533-position model. The record is from RNAcentral.
GAUGAACGCUGGCGGCGUGCCUAAUACAUGCAAGUCGAGCGAACGGACGAGGAGCUUGCUUCUCUGAUGUUAGCGGCGGACGGGUGAGUAACACGUGGAUAACCUACCUAUAAGACUGGGAUAACUUCGGGAAACCGGAGCUAAUACCGGAUAAUAUUUUGAACCGCAUGGUUCAAAAGUGAAAGACGGUCUUGCUGUCACUUAUAGAUGGAUCCGCGCUGCAUUAGCUAGUUGGUAAGGUAACGGCUUACCAAGGCAACGAUGCAUAGCCGACCUGAGAGGGUGAUCGGCCACACUGGAACUGAGACACGGUCCAGACUCCUACGGGAGGCAGCAGUAGGGAAUCUUCCGCAAUGGGCGAAAGCCUGACGGAGCAACGCCGCGUGAGUGAUGAAGGUCUUCGGAUCGUAAAACUCUGUUAUUAGGGAAGAACAUAUGUGUAAGUAACUGUGCACAUCUUGACGGUACCUAAUCAGAAAGCCACGGCUAACUACGUGCCAGCAGCCGCGGUAAUACGUAGGUGGCAAGCGUUAUCCGGAAUUAUUGGGCGUAAAGCGCGCGUAGGCGGUUUUUUAAGUCUGAUGUGAAAGCCCACGGCUCAACCGUGGAGGGUCAUUGGAAACUGGAAAACUUGAGUGCAGAAGAGGAAAGUGGAAUUCCAUGUGUAGCGGUGAAAUGCGCAGAGAUAUGGAGGAACACCAGUGGCGAAGGCGACUUUCUGGUCUGUAACUGACGCUGAUGUGCGAAAGCAUGGGGAUCAAACAGGAUUAGAUACCCUGGUAGUCCACGCCGUAAACGAUGAGUGCUAAGUGUUAGGGGGUUUCCGCCCCUUAGUGCUGCAGCUAACGCAUUAAGCACUCCGCCUGGGGAGUACGACCGCAAGGUUGAAACUCAAAGGAAUUGACGGGGACCCGCACAAGCGGUGGAGCAUGUGGUUUAAUUCGAAGCAACGCGAAGAACCUUACCAAAUCUUGACAUCCUUUGACAACUCUAGAGAUAGAGCUUUCCCCUUCGGGGGACAAAGUGACAGGUGGUGCAUGGUUGUCGUCAGCUCGUGUCGUGAGAUGUUGGGUUAAGUCCCGCAACGAGCGCAACCCUUAAGCUUAGUUGCCAUCAUUAAGUUGGGCACUCUAAGUUGACUGCCGGUGACAAACCGGAGGAAGGUGGGGAUGACGUCAAAUCAUCAUGCCCCUUAUGAUUUGGGCUACACACGUGCUACAAUGGACAAUACAAAGGGCAGCGAAACCGCGAGGUCAAGCAAAUCCCAUAAAGUUGUUCUCAGUUCGGAUUGUAGUCUGCAACUCGACUACAUGAAGCUGGAAUCGCUAGUAAUCGUAGAUCAGCAUGCUACGGUGAAUACGUUCCCGGGUCU